GAGAGCAAGCUGCAGAGGGAGAGAGGAUGGGAGGCGAGGAGGCGGCCUGAGGGAAGGAACAGGAGGGAAGAGAGAUGAAGGGCAAAACCGGGGCCAGCCAUGCCUGUCCUAACAGCAGCCACCCAGCGGUGGCCCAGCCUGCUGAGAACUAGAAAAUCAGAAGAAAAAGGAGAAUCCACCAGGAGACCCAGGUUCCCAUGAGCAGGGGCCUUUAUCUGAAGUUAAUGGAAGCUAAGCCAGGUCCUGACAAUGUACCUUCUGAUGGGGAGAUGAGACUUUCCUCUGACAGCUAAGGUAACUCUGAAGCGUGAGCUGCCAGAAUUCAAGGCCACCUGCUUAAUAGAAGACAACUAGAAACCUCAUCCAUGAGCAUACUGCUGAGAUGGGGAUGGUUAUCUCUGUUUAACAGCUGAGGACGCUGAGGUUCAGACAGCACUCAGCCACGUGGCUGAGCUGGACUUGAAUUUAAGCCUGUUGGAUUCUGAACCCUAGACUUUGUGCACCUGACCAGGUGCAGACCAUGAAUUACGUGGGGCAAUUAGCCGGCCAGGUGUUUGUCACCGUGAAGGAGCUCUACA
Molecule: small RNA, 578 nt
Filed under: Pongo abelii (Sumatran orangutan)
Lineage: Eukaryota; Metazoa; Chordata; Mammalia; Primates; Hominidae
Description: processed transcript
Source: RNAcentral